This 748-nucleotide long non-coding RNA is filed under the name Pectinophora gossypiella (pink bollworm). RNAcentral's name for it is "uncharacterized LOC126379149". The record is from RNAcentral. Lineage: Eukaryota; Metazoa; Arthropoda; Insecta; Lepidoptera; Gelechiidae.
GGUCGCGUCAACUGUGUUUACGAGUGUCUUGUGUUCAGAUUGUUUUAAGUGAUAAUUUAACAAUAUUUUUCCAAAUAAAUGGAAAGAAACUUUUAUUUAUAUCAAAUAAUUGAGUGUCUCGACUGUGUGACAUUAUGUCUUGUGUGGUAUGGGGCUGCAGCUCACAUUCAGGAAGAAAAGAAAAUAGCCAACAACUUCUGUCGUUUCAUCGAUAUUAAAUCCAAAAGUGUCGACUGGAUUUACAUGAAAAGUCAGUUCAAGAAGACGAGAUGAAAAAUUUAAAAGAAAAGCUGAACAAGUCCCGCCUCAAGAUCAAACGACUUAAUGAAAAAAAAAAAAACAAUGUGACAGGGUGUCACAAAGACAGUUUCUAAGCAAAUUGACACUGUUUAGAAAUUAAUAAAUUUGUAUUUAUUGUAAAUAUAAUGUACAUAAUUAAUAACGUGUGAAAUAAAUACUUGCUAAUGAAAAUGAACAGAUUUACGAUCUAAUUUAUAUUUCAUUUUACCUCCUGUUCUUAUUUACUCCUACUCCAACACUCCAGGUUGAUACGAACUGCGCCCAAUAAAGAAUGUAAUGAAUGUUAUAGAUUUGUGUAAGCGACUUAGAUAAAUCUUGACUAAACCUUCCUUUACAAAUACAAAUAUACUUUAUUGCACACAACAUACAAUACUUACAAGUUUUACACGAAAGAUACAGUACACCACCUACCUACCUUUUACUUUCCCUUUCUGUUCUCUUAUGAAUA